GAGUUUGAUCCUGGCUCAGGACGAACGCUGGCGGCGUGCCUAACACAUGCAAGUCGAACGGAGAACUCAAAAAGCUUGCUUUGAGAGUUCUUAGUGGCGGACGGGUGAGUAACGCGUGGGCAACCUCCCCCUUAAACCGGGACAACCCUUGGAAACGAGGGCUAAUACCGGAUACACUUUUCUGAGGACAUCCUCGGGAAAGGAAAGGCGGCCUCUGAAGAUGCUGCCGAUAAGGGAUGGACCCGCGUCUGAUUAGCUGGUUGGUGGGGUAAAGGCCUACCAAGGCGACGAUCAGUAGCCGGCCUGAGAGGGUGAACGGCCACACUGGGACUGAGACACGGCCCAGACUCCUACGGGAGGCAGCAGUGGGGGAUCUUCCGCAAUGGACGAAAGUCUGACGGAGCAACGCCGCGUGUAUGACGAAGGCCUUCGGGUUGUAAAGUACUGUCUUUAGGGACGAACGGUAUCUAUGUGAACAAUGUAGGUACAUGACGGUACCUAAGGAGGAAGCCCCGGCUAACUACGUGCCAGCAGCCGCGGUAAUACGUAGGGGGCGAGCGUUGUCCGGAAUCAUUGGGCGUAAAGGGCGCGUAGGCGGAUUUUUAAGUCUGGUGUGAAAACUUGGGGCUCAACCCCAAGCCUGCAUCGGAAACUGGGAAUCUUGAGGACAGGAGAGGAAAGUGGAAUUCCACGUGUAGCGGUG
Molecule: ribosomal RNA, 703 nt
Filed under: uncultured Desulfitobacterium sp.
Lineage: Bacteria; Bacillati; Bacillota; Clostridia; Eubacteriales; Desulfitobacteriaceae
Description: bacterial SSU rRNA
Rfam family: Bacterial small subunit ribosomal RNA
Source: RNAcentral